This 496-nucleotide ribosomal RNA is filed under the name uncultured bacterium. RNAcentral describes it as "partial 16S ribosomal RNA". It matches the Rfam family "Bacterial small subunit ribosomal RNA", at positions 28 to 507 of the family's 1533-position model. The record is from RNAcentral.
GAUGAACGCUGGCGGCGUGCCUAAUACAUGCAAGUGGACCGCGGAGGGUGGGACUUUUACCCACUUGAAGAGACGCGAAAAGGGGAGGGACGCCGGGGGAAACCUCCCUUUAAGGGGGGGCCAAAAUUUUGAAACAAUUCUUAAAACCCAUAAAAAACUUAAAAACAAAUUUUAAAUUUUAAAAAUGCCAUUGGCAUACACAAAGAAUAAGCCCCGUUGUACUUGCUUUGUUGGGAGGUAAAAGGCCAACCAAGGCAAGAUACAUAGCCGACCUGAGAGGGUGAUCGGCCACCUUGGGAAUGAGACACCGCCCCAACUCCUACGGGAGGCAGCAGUAGGGAAUCUUCGGCAAUGGACGAAAGUCUGACCGAGCAACGCCGCGUGAGUGAAGAAGGUUUUCGGAUCGUAAAACUCUGUUGGUAGAGAAGAACGUUGGUGAGAGUGGAAAGCUCAUCAAGUGACGGUAACUACCCAGAAAGGGACGGCUAACUACGUG